Molecule: ribosomal RNA, 301 nt
Filed under: uncultured bacterium
Lineage: Bacteria
Description: partial 16S ribosomal RNA
Rfam family: Bacterial small subunit ribosomal RNA
Source: RNAcentral
CAGUAGCCGCGGGAAUACGUAGGUGGCAAGCGUUGUCCGGAAUUAUUGGGCGUAAAGCGCGCGCAGGCGGAUAGGUCAGUCUGUCUUAAAAGUUCGGGGCUUAACCCCGUGAUGGGAUGGAAACUGCCAAUCUAGAGUAUCGGAGAGGAAAGUGGAAUUCCUAGUGUAGCGGUGAAAUGCGUAGAUAUUAGGAAGAACACCAGUGGCGAAGGCGACUUUCUGGACGAAAACUGACACUGAGGCGCGAAAGCCAGGGGAGCGAACGGGAUUAGAUACCCCCGUAGUCCCUGUCUCUUAUACC